CAACUGCCUCGUUCCCCGCUUUCGCGCUGCGUGCCGAAAAAUAGGCAUUUUAGCGCGUAUUCCCGCCGCCUGCGAAGUGCCUCAUCGCUUCCUUCUAAGCCGUUUGGCUCCACGGUGGAAUUAUCUCCUGGCCUGGUUUCUGCUGCUCUCGACUCCCGUGGCUAGCGCGUUUUCUUUAGUUUUUCCCAAGUUAAUCUUUCAGGUUUUGUUUCAGAUCGUUUUCUAGUUUGUGGAACUUGUUUGCAAAGUCCACGCAGGAGUAGGUCUGCUCCUCGAAGAGCUUUGGGAAAGGGAAAUUGCUGGGAGUCCGCUGCCCUUCCACAUUUUGGCAAUCUGUUUUGGGGGGAAGGAGAAACCUCUGUGCUGCUAGAAAGGAAAACCGGAAUUUACUGCAGAGUAUUUCUUUCGAUAGUAGCUUCGAAAAUGAAGGUCAGAGGGCUCAGCUGGUGAAGACGUACGGAACGCCUCAACGGGGCGACUCUGAUUUAAGCAGACGCUCGGGCCCGAUUCCUGGGGAAGGAGCAGCGACCUGGUUUGGCCGGAAGGAACGCGGAACGGGAGAGAAAAGCGGUCGAAGGCGAGAGCCGAGCUCGCCCCUUAACGGGCCUUUGAGCGGCGACACCUCUUCCCUCUCAGUAAUAAGGGAGCUGCCGGGAAUGGGAUUUCAUUCCCUACGUAUAUGCGGACGUCCGUCUGCACCGGUCGCUCGGGGCUUCUCUUUUCAGGUGAAUCGCCCCGGAAAAAGCCGCUGUCUCGUCUCGCUAGACGCUGCCUCCUUUAGGAGCAACUUGCAUGUUGUAUAAUUAGGGAGCCAAAGCCCAAACUGUUUAAAUUUCCUCCGACAGCAGCCUCCGUGUGGGGAAAACACGAUUUCUUUCCCGCUUUCGUAUCCCAGCGCGUGUUGUCAUAUCACCGGGGUUGUGUUAAAGUAUUUCUGUGCUAACGUUGGAGCCAGCAACGCCGCCGGCUCUGCUCGCGAAACCCAGCCUGAAGCUUAGUCCAGCUUGUUUCCAGGUUCUCCGGCAGAAACGGAGUCCGCUGCUUGAUUUCCGUGAAAACACUUGCCACCGCACCAAAGCCUCGACCGUCUUUUCGCUUCUGCGUCGCGCCGGCAUGAAUAAACAGUCUAAAGUAGCUGUGGUUAGACA
This 1148-nucleotide long non-coding RNA is filed under the name Apteryx haastii (Great spotted kiwi). Its description in RNAcentral is "lncRNA (ENSAHAG00000002356.1)". Lineage: Eukaryota; Metazoa; Chordata; Aves; Apterygiformes; Apterygidae. The record is from RNAcentral.